This 449-nucleotide ribosomal RNA is filed under the name uncultured bacterium. RNAcentral's name for it is "partial 16S ribosomal RNA". It matches the Rfam family "Bacterial small subunit ribosomal RNA", at positions 29 to 523 of the family's 1533-position model. The record is from RNAcentral.
AACGAACGCUGGCGGCAUGCCUAACACAUGCAAGUCGAACGAGAUCUUCGGGUCUAGUGGCGCACGGGUGCGUGACGCGUGGGAAUCUGCCCUUUGGUUCGGAAUAACAGUUGGAAACGACUGCUAAUACCGGAUGAUGACGAAAGUCCAAAGAUUUAUCGCCAGAGGAUGAGCCCGCGUAGGAUUAGCUAGUUGGUGUGGUAAAGGCGCACCAAGGCGACGAUCCUUAGCUGGUCUGAGAGGAUGAUCAGCCACACUGGGACUGAGACACGGCCCAGACUCCUACGGGAGGCAGCAGUGGGGAAUAUUGGACAAUGGGCGAAAGCCUGAUCCAGCAAUGCCGCGUGAGUGAUGAAGGCCUUAGGGUUGUAAAGCUCUUAUACCCGGGAUGAUAACGACAGUACCGGGAGAAUAAGCUCCGGCUAACUCCGUGCCAGCCGCCGCCGUAA